CCCCAAAAAGGGUCAAAGGUCAGCCAAGGUCAGAGGUCACCCGAGGUCAAAGGUCACCCGGGGUCAGAGGUCACCCGAGGUCAAAGUUCGCCCGGGGUCAGAGGUCAUCCGGGGAGUCCUGGAAGCCCUGAAGCUCCCGCAGGCCCUCCAGCACCAGGCGGAUGUGGGCGCGGAUCUGAGCGCCGUCCCGCGUCAGGGAUUGGCUGAGCUUGUCCAACAUCCGGCUACGGCGGUCGAGGUGGCGGAGAGCUUCGGCAAGGGUCAGCUCUGCAUAGAAGCCAUAACCCAGAGCCACAAAGAGGCGUUGGGGGUCCGGCACUUCCGCAUUGACGUAGAAGUUGCAGCCCAAAUCCACCUGAGUGCGCAGUGGGGCGGAGGCGGCGUCCU
RNAcentral lists this long non-coding RNA (387 nucleotides) under Gallus gallus (chicken). The record is from RNAcentral. Lineage: Eukaryota; Metazoa; Chordata; Aves; Galliformes; Phasianidae.